RNAcentral lists this long non-coding RNA (758 nucleotides) under Olea europaea subsp. europaea. The record is from RNAcentral. Lineage: Eukaryota; Viridiplantae; Streptophyta; Magnoliopsida; Lamiales; Oleaceae.
AAGAAAAAAAAAAAUAAUAAUAAUAAUAAAAUAAAAAAUAAAAAAAGUUGAUUUCCGUUGAACAUUCCACAACCAUCAAUACAACACAUACACCUACCACUCCAACCACUGACUCUACAAUUAUGUCAAACAGCUCAACAUCUACCAUCACCAUCUACAUUCCUACAUGAUCAAGACUUACAAACACCAACAACAACCUACCAAUUACACAUUCAAAACACAAUAACAACCUAUUAAAUGUUCCAUGUGAUUUCAAUCAAAAUCAGCACCUAAAUUUGUGAUGUAAUCUUCACUUUGAUCAAGCCAAAUCCCAAAACAGUCUUUCGGAGUUGUUCUCCAUCCAUGAGGACUUUGUGACAGUUCUCUAACCACAAUGACACAAAAUUUGUAAGAAAUUCUAUGAUUUCAUAAAGAAUUUUCCAUGAUGAGGUAAAAUAAUUGGUUUUCUUUAUAGGGUUCGUUUCAAUUUGAGAGCGAUUCGGGGAUGGUUUGGAUUCUUGUUUUCCCUGUAGAGAUUGGUCUGGAAGGAAAGGUUUAUUGAUUUGGGUGGAAAUCGAUGGGUUGUUAUGGAGAAAAAAUGGAUUUAGGGUUCUUGGUGAAAUUGAAUUUUGAUUUGGGAAUAUGAGAAAAACGUUUCUUGCCAUUUUUAAAGAGAAAAUGUUGUUUCAAAUUUGGUGAUUAAUGUCUAGUUGUCAAUAUUUAACAAUGUUUGUUGCCACGAUGGAUUUCCAUCCGCCAUGUGUAUUUUUUCAUCAAGG